RNAcentral lists this ribosomal RNA (284 nucleotides) under uncultured Leptolinea sp. Its description in RNAcentral is "partial 16S ribosomal RNA". It matches the Rfam family "Bacterial small subunit ribosomal RNA", at positions 1082 to 1381 of the family's 1533-position model. Lineage: Bacteria; Bacillati; Chloroflexota; Anaerolineae; Anaerolineales; Anaerolineaceae. The record is from RNAcentral.
AAGUCCGCUAACGAGCGCAACCCUCGCUGUGUGUUAUAUGUGUCACACGGGACUGCCGGUCUUAAGCCGGAGGAAGUGGGGAUGAUGUCAAGUCAGCAUGGCCUUUAUAUCCUGGGCUACACACACGCUACAAUGGCCAACACAAUAGGUUGCUAAGCCGCGAGGUGGCGCCAAUCCAUAAAGUUGGUCUCAGUUCAGAUUGUAGGCUGCAACCCGCCUGCAUGAAGAUGGAGUUGCUAGUAACCGCAGGUCAGCUAUACUGCGGUGAAUACGUUCCCGGGCUU